RNAcentral lists this ribosomal RNA (253 nucleotides) under uncultured bacterium. Its description in RNAcentral is "partial 16S ribosomal RNA". It matches the Rfam family "Bacterial small subunit ribosomal RNA", at positions 524 to 776 of the family's 1533-position model. The record is from RNAcentral.
UACGUAGGGUGCGAGCGUUGUCCGGAAUUAUUGGGCGUAAAGCGUGCGCAGGCGGCUUCGCAAGUCAGACGUGAAAUCCCCGGGCUUAACCUGGGAAUGGCGUUUGAAACUACGGAGCUGGAGUAUGGCAGAGGGGGGUGGAAUUCCACGUGUAGCGGUGAAAUGCGUAGAUAUGUGGAGGAACACCGAUGGCGAAGGCAGCCCCCUGGGCCAAUACUGACGCUCAUGCACGAAAGCGUGGGGAGCAAACAGG